AAACGGAUAGUAACGUUAAAACCUGCAACACGCAUCUUCUUCGAAACCUAAUUUUCUCUCUAAAAAAGCCUCCUUAAAAAAGCCGUCGUUUUUCCUUUUAGAUCUGAGACCGGUGGCCGGUGGCUUCUUCAGCACCGGGGCUGGUCUCCUCUUUGCUUUUUGUUUGCUCUCCGGCAUCUGUAACUUUCGGUGGUGAUGAUGGUCUAAACGAUGUCCGGGUUCGAGUUAGGUUUAUGUUGGGGUGGUGUGGUCGGAGAUCCGGCCUUCUUUUGACGUUUCAAUUGCUGGGUGUAACUGUUUUCUUUUACAGAGAUUCCUUUUAAAUUUGGUCUUUUGUGGUUUGGUGCUCUCCA
Molecule: long non-coding RNA, 353 nt
Organism: Arabidopsis lyrata subsp. lyrata
Lineage: Eukaryota; Viridiplantae; Streptophyta; Magnoliopsida; Brassicales; Brassicaceae
Exons: 2
Source: RefSeq, a predicted model, not a curated record